UAGGUUAUUCUUUCCGAAUGACUAAGUUAUUUAAACACUCCACAGUCGUUCAUAUGUUGGAAGUAGGUAUGAAUCAAGACUGUCAUGAAUCGAGUUUGUAGAUGGCUAAAUGGGUUUAGUCAUAGCAAUGGUUGCUACAACAUUCAUGAGUGCUCAUAAGUUAUGAGUAUUGGANUACGACGCGCAUUUACGACACGCAAUGCGUAUCAAGGAAGGCCCUGUCAUAAAGGAAGACGACACGCAUUCACGUGUCGUAACCUUACGACGCGCGUGUUAAUGACACACAAUGUGUAUCAAGAAAGCCCCUGUCAAGAAAGGCCAUGUCAUAAAUGAAGAUGACACACAUUUUUGCGUAUCAUAAUUUUAAAUGUUUAAAAAAAAUAUUAUUUAUAGAUUUACUAAUUUUCAAAUUAAAUAAUACAUUAAAAAUCUCAUAAUACAAAAUAAAAUACCAUAAAUAACAAAGAUAAUUCAUUUCACUAAUAUGUCAAAUACAAAUAAUUAUUCCAAAAGUGAGUAAAUGUUAUAAAAAAUGAACUCAUUUAUAUACAAUUGCAUCAUCUAGCUUACUAUGUGCCAACAACUCUAUGUGUGUUUACUUUUGCUUGAGUCUCGUUUCCUCCAAAGCUUCUAGCCAUGCCAAAAUAUGAUACCUUGAGUCUCGUAUGAAUAGAUCGAGUGCAAUAGGUCUAGCUUGUAUCAUUCCAAAUAAUUCCAAUGCUCGUCUCUAUACAAGCCAAUAAUUUGAGAACUUAAUUUUAGUAUUAUUUUAUAAUUAAUCAAAUAAGAAAACAAUAAAUACCUUCUGCCAUAUAUGAAAGAGAACAAGAUAAACAAGAUCAGUAUCGCCACUUUCAGUUGCCUUAGUCAGGGUUGUAUCUUCAUCCCCAAUUCUUAGUAACAAAGGAACCUAGAAAAGUGCUAAUUUCCUCCUGCUGUGUGAUCUGCAUGAGCAGCAACUGCAGCAUAAGAAAUGCUUCUGCACAAUUUUAACUGAAAAAUCCCAAAAAGUUAGCCAUUGACAUUUUUAGUGUACUUUAAUCCUAUAAAACUCUGAACAAACCUUAUCAAGUAUGAUAUAUCCUGAUAACCACUUCAUGCAAAAUAAGCCUCAAAAAGAAUCAAUCCACCAAUCAAAACUGAACAAGUCAUAUCAUAUAUCUAGAUAAUUGUUCACCAUAUCCACUAUAUCACAAUAUAAGAGAUAAGAAUAUUGAGAGGCCUAAUUUUGUAUGAAAUCCAUGUCAAAAUUGAAAGGAACUUUAUUCAAACCUAAAACAGGCGUAUGUAUGCGAGCAUGUGGUUCUUGAUGAAACAAGAAUUAUAACUGAAUUGUCACUGGAAUAACAAAAGUGAAUCGUUGAUGUAUAAAUAUAUAAUUCCAACUUUUGAGAUGAAAAUAUGUUAAGGGAUUAAGUAGAAGAAAUUACCCAGAACCAAAAGAAAGAAGCUAGCUCAAACGCGUUUUGCAUACAAAUUGAUCAUGAGUUAUGAAGUUAUGUUAUUAGCCCUAACAAGUUUAUUUUUUGAUUGUAGGUUAUGAAAAAUCUAUUCCAUUGUUUAGAUAGUCACGAGCUUCCUUUCCUUCAAUGGCAAGAAUGUUUUGCAGUUUUAGCAAAUCGACUUCAUAAAGAUCUUAAAAACAAGAAGCAUUGAUUCCAAACUGCAUUGAUCAGGGAUUUACUUGAAAGAGCGCCAUGUUUGACUUCUCUAUCUAAGGGAUUAUUAGCUCACCCUCAAAUCAUUGCAGAGAGGGGAUAGGAUAGUUGUGCCUAUACAUUGGAAUAGAACCUAGGAUAGAUUACAAAAAAUAUACAAUUUUCAAUUACCUUCAAAACUAAUGGGCAAACGAAUACCGUGCUAAAAUUAUAAUUAUUGUGAUGAGGGCACUUUAAUUGCAACUGAUGGCACCACCUAAAAAAAUUCCUUGUUAAGUCCUAACUUUUUACAAAUUCGCCCUUUCAGGUAAUUAACAAUCUCACCUUCACAUGGUUGACGCUAAAUACUGAAAAUAAAUGUUUCCAUCCUUCUUUUUGGACAAUCAUAACAAGAGUUCCCAUUGUUCCUUUCAGUUGAGAGCUUGAGCCUUGUAGACGUUGAACCUUCAAUACUCAAACAACAUGUAUCUUGAUAAUCCCAUACUUUGAUUAUAUACAUAUAGAUAUACAUAUAUAUAUAUAUAUAUAUACACACACACACACACACACUAGAUUUAAAAGAUUGCCUGCAUUUGGCGUUUGACAAUAUCCAAAGGGUAAGUGAAAGUCUCACCAAGUAAACCAGCAACCGACCCACAAGCAAGUUUGACCAUCAUGUUCUUUCUGUAAUCAAUGGGGAAAUGGCUUUUCAUUUUCUCAUAGAAGUAAAACUUCAAACCUGAGUAAGGAAAGAUUCCAUAGAGUGAUGGAGCUACAAAAAAAUAUCAAUUUUUAUAAAUAAAAAAAAACUUAUUUUGUAUGAGAAAUUAAAAAAUUCAUACCAACACCAUGAUACAGCCCUCUAAUCCAAACAUCUCUAUAAGUUCUAGAAAAACAAUCCCUAAUUCCUCUGAAUGCAAUGUUCGCUACUCAUGGCUUCUUUCAUGUUCAAUUUGGGAGUAUCCACAACCUGUACUAUCAGAUGAAAAUGAUUGGGCUAGUUAGACACUUGCAUAUUAAAAAAAGUAUGUAGCAAUUUGUUAAAAUAAAGUUGUGGGAAUUAUGAUCGUAUACCUAGUAAGCCAAUUUAGUUCUAACCAAAUCAAGUGGAUAAGUAAAAAGAAGAGCAGUUCCUCCAGAUAAUGAUCCUGGUAACAGAUCAACAACUGGACCACUUCCCAUUCCAGGUUAUUUUAACACAAGUAAACUAUAGUCUAUAGACCGAGGUUAUUUUUGUAAUUACUGCAUCAAUUGAUGGGUUACUAUCCUUUCCAAACUUCUUAGUAAUAAAAAAAUAAAAUUCAAUGAGUUAGUAAUGCCUAGUUUCUCAUGAAAAAUGUCUGACCUUGACAUUGAUUUUGAGGGAGACAUUUUAGAGAUACUAUUUGUUGAUCUUUAGAAGAUAUUUUGUAAGACAACAUUGUGAAAUCAACCCGAGUUCCAUUUCACAUAUCUGCUUCACAUCACUUGAAACCCAAGCAACUUUACUGUCUGUUUGGUUGGAAGGAAUGGAAUGGAAUGGUCAAUUCUAUUCCAUCAAGCAAAACAAAAAAGUUUUCUCUUUAAUUCCAAUGGAAAGGUGAUAAGCAUAUGAAAGCUACAUACCGUAUAACUUGCCAUUGUUGUCAGGGAGAAUGGUAAUAAGCAAUUCCAACUCUUUUCCUCCAAGUUUGUUUACAGUGGCUGUAUACACAUGCUUUAAAGCCUUCUUGACCUGAUCUGGUCUUGCAGAGUAGAUUGGAACCACACUUUCACUUUUAAAUUCCUGAAAUUUCCAACAUUUUGUAUAUAAUUUAAAUAUUUAAUUUAUGAAAGAUAAUAUUUGAGUUGAUUAUAUACAUACCAUGCCAGAUUCUUGGCACAUUUGGACCAACUGAUGACAAAAACUUUGAGCAGCACUAUCUGGAACAAUUCUUGAGAAGUUGAUACAAGCCCAGUAAUUAACAACAAUUCCAUUUAUUACUUUCUGUAUCAUGAAAAUAGUAUAAUAUUAAUUAUCUUAUAAACAAUUGAAACAGUCCCUGUAUAUGUUAAUAAUUGGAUACCUGAUACAUGUGCUUGACAAAUAGCUUCCCAAACAACAGCUAGUUCUAAGCCACUAGCUAUAAGCUGAAACAGCCAAAAGGACAUGAAUUACAUACUUAGAAGAGCCUUGUUGCUGCUUGUUCUUGAACCUGUGAAAAUCAAAGUAGUUACAAACAUAAUCAACUGUUAAAAUUAACUUGAACAUUAGAUACACAAAAAAUGUAUAUGAAUAUUAUGGUACACUAUGUAUAAUAUAAGCGCGUACCUUGAACUCAUAGUUAUGUGUUUCUGCAAAUUUUGUAGCAAAAGCAAGAGAGAGCAGAAGGCUCAGAAGGGUCAAGUGAACUUAUGAAUUGACAGUAUUUGGCAUUGCAUUGGGUCUAAUAUAAUAAUAUUCACAAUGUUUUGGGAAGGAAAGAGAAGCAAAUUUCAGUAAUAAAAUAAAGUGUUUUGAGUACACUUUGUCGUGUUCAAUAAAGCAAGUCACAUAUAAUAACAUAAAAUCAUUCAGUAAUAUCACAAGAAAAAAGAUAAUAAAAAAAUCAUCAACACUUGAUGAUUACUUGGCCCAAACUUCCACAUUCAAAUAAUUGUACAACUCCCUCAGCAUGAUGUACAAGUCACAUUACCAUAAACAAUGAACUAAACUAACGAUGAAAAUUACUAGGAUUCAACUUUCUUGAUGGUAACCUUACAUUUUCAAGAACCAAUCAUAUGGGUACUAAAGAGUCUUGAAAUUUAUGUUGAUAUUUCUUUGACCAAAGCCAAAUCUUGGAUACAGAAAAGCUUUCACCUUUGCUUCUACUACUAUUUUUCUUUCCAUCACUAUCCCCAUCAACUGAGCUAUUCCCCUUAUCUUUCUCAAUACCUAAAUAUUUUUUUCCAAUAUUACCCCUACUAGGGCAAAAUCUCACCUGUAAUUCCGAGUUUCCCACCACAUACUCAUAAGAUCCCAUUCAAAAGCACCUUCUUGAAUCAAGAUUACUUUUACUAGUCUCCCCCACUUCUUUCUCGUCUCUUUUCUUACCAUUUAUGGCUCUAAACUUUCCAAAUCUAACCGAAUACACCCACUUUUCAUUCCCCCCCCCCCUCCAGAUUGGUUAAAAUUACAAUAUAUCCCUAAUACAUGAUCAUAUUCUUCCCUUGAAUCAUCAUGGAAGUUGAAGACUGGAUUUUCAACCGAAAAUCCAGGAGUAAAAAGUGUACCUCUGCAUAAAGGACAACUCGAAUUUGAAAGCAACAAAGUGUCGAUACAAUGAAUGUGAAAAGCAUGGCUGCAUAAAGGAAACAACCUUAGCUUAUCUUGUUAUGAGAAUUCACAAAGACAAACUGCACAAUCGAAGGGCUCUUUUAACCCCAUUAGUUCUUUGUAAAGAAACAAUGGGAGAGCGUCAAUGAAAGCUUGAUCGAAACCAGAAUGUAAAUGGAAGAGCUGUUGUUGUUGUCUCUAGUCGGCGACAUCAUCAUUACCGUUACUUUCUUGAAAUAUUGAAGAUUGAUGAUGAGAGUUUGAAGAUGAUGAUGAUCUUUUCUUCUUCAUGAGGUAUCUUGCAAGAAAGUAAAGUAACCAACAGAUGACGAACCCAAUUCCCAAUACAAUCACACUAUUUCUAGCGAAGAUUAUAGAUGAGCGAGGUUUAUGGUUACUGGGAGGAGAAGAAAAAGGAGAAAGGUUUUGUUUGAUGAGGGGUUUGAUUCGGAGCAUGUUAGUAGAUAUGAAAUGCUACAACAAUCAUCAAGUUUGGAAGAGUUAUCUUGCAGAAAACUUCUAUUGAGAUUUUGAGAUAUGAACAUCAUGGGGAUCUUGUGUUGAGAUUUUGAUCUUGUUUCUGAACACUUCUGAGUGAAGAAGUAUGAAGGUUAAUUUUUGUUUAGAUGGCGAUGAGGGGUGGAUUUAUAUACAGAGGAAGAAGAUAGAGAGGAAGAAGACUACCCAAUCCCAUCUUCUCCUCAAAUCACGCCAGAGCACUCAACGUGAAGAUUCGCAGACCCCCAUUCGCCGGUUCUGUGAAGGAUUUUGUGAGGUCUGCAUCCCAAGUUCUUUGAAGCGGGGUUUAUGAAUUAUAAGAAAAUAACGUUAGAAUGAGGUUUAGAUGAGAUCGUCGGUGACGAACAAGAAGUGAUGAUAGAAACUAGGGUUAUUGGCUCACGAAAAUGAUGAAUUAAAGAACUAACCUUAAACCCUCUAUAAACAAGGUAUGUGUAUGCAGACAGAUCGAUAUGUAAGUAAUGGAGUAGUAGUGGUGGCCAUCAUCUCCAUUGUCCAUCGCAUACAUUAAUGGAGGGGGAUAACGAACCCUAGAAGGCCAUUACAUUGAGCAAUCGCACAUUUAGAGAGUGAAAGGUAGUGAAAUGGUGCAUCGGUGGUUGUUGUUUUAGCAAUCCUGUGGGGGACUGUUUAAUUUAGAAGGAGAAGAAGGAUUUUAGAAGGAGAAGAAAACCAGAAGGGUGAUUAGGGUUUUCUAGAGUAUUAGGGUUUUUUUGUUUGAGGAUUUUAGAAGGAGAAGAAGGAGAUAAUCAGGCGAAGAAGAUUAUUAGGAUUUUUUUUGUUAGAGGAUUUUAGAAGGAGAAGAAGGAGAUGAAUCAGGCGGGCUGUUUAAUUUGUUGGGUUUUCAUUUCCCACCAUAGAUUGUUAAAGCAACAGAGAAUGCGCCUUUCUAAAAAAAGAUAAAGCGACACAUUUACACGAUACGCUUAUUAUGAUAGGUGCCCUCCGUGUUUUUUUUUUGGACACUAAUUUUAGGGUGCGCAAAAAUGCGUGUACUAUAUCCUUCAAAUUUUGGAAAACUGACAUUAAUUUUUAGGGCACACACAAAUACGCGUUCUCUAUCAGUGUGUGUCAUUAAUUGCGCGUCGUAAAAGGUUGUUUUUCUAGUAGUGACUCCAUAGUCGUUCAUAUGUUGGAAAUAGGUAUGAAUCAAGACUGUCAUGGAUCGGUUUUGUAGAUGGCUAAAUGGGUUUAGUCAUAGCAAUGGUUGCUACAACAUUCAUGAGUGCUCAUAAGUUAUGAGUAUUGGAAUAAACCCACGCUCACUUGUAUCACUUCAUGGAAUUUAUCUCGAGUGAUCGUGAGACGGUAAUAUCAUAUAAAUCUUCAAACCUAGAGAUAUGAGUUGUUACAUAUGAGUUGGUUGUGCAUUGAUUGCACGUAAACGCAUCAGUAACUUGAUGUUAUAAAACGUGCCUUUGUGUACAAUGCAACAAGUAGUAGAACAAGUAUAUGAGUCGAAGUUUAUCUGUUCCUUCUAGAAAUAGAAGCGAUAUCUAGGCCCCUCGAUGAUUUUGUUGUGACCUAUGUACCGGCCGGUCAGAACUAAAUUGAUGUGUUCGAUUAAGUUCUUUGUCAAACAAAUCGGAAAUCGGGAAACAAACUGCUGGACAAUAAGUACGACGUUGUUCCAUGUAUUUGUCCGGCUGAUAUCAUGAGGACAGAGGAUUAUAUGAUCACUUAUCUAAAAUGGCGCUUCAUAGUUCAACAGAGUCUUCAUAGUUCAACGGAGUUUUCGAAAGCUACGAUUGCUAGUUGGUUCCUGAAGUAACAUACGCAAAUAUAGUUAUUAGACUUAUCCAAGUGGGAGUCUGUUGGAUAAGGUGUCUAAGUCCAUAACUUAUUUGGUAUAUACUUGACCCGACCCGGCAUGGUCCAUUUGGGUUGCA
This 7319-nucleotide long non-coding RNA is filed under the name Lactuca sativa (garden lettuce). RNAcentral's name for it is "long non-coding RNA (LSAT_LNC009732)". Lineage: Eukaryota; Viridiplantae; Streptophyta; Magnoliopsida; Asterales; Asteraceae. The record is from RNAcentral.